This 207-nucleotide ribosomal RNA is filed under the name uncultured Synechococcus sp. RNAcentral describes it as "partial 16S ribosomal RNA". It matches the Rfam family "Bacterial small subunit ribosomal RNA", at positions 568 to 774 of the family's 1533-position model. The record is from RNAcentral. Lineage: Bacteria; Bacillati; Cyanobacteriota; Cyanophyceae; Synechococcales; Synechococcaceae.
UCCGCAGGCGGCCCUUCAAGUCUGCUGUUAAAACGUGGAGCUUAACUCCAUCAUGGCAGUGGAAACUGUUGGGCUUGAGUGUGGUAGGGGCAGAGGGAAUUCCCGGUGUAGCGGUGAAAUGCGUAGAUAUCGGGAAGAACACCAGUGGCGAAGGCGCUCUGCUGGGCCAUAACUGACGCUCAUGGACGAAAGCCAGGGGAGCGAAAG